UCCUGGUCCUGGAGAGCCGCAGGGUCUGCUGGUUUCUGUUUUUGCUGUAAUAGCAGCAACCAAUUCAAACCCAAGAAACCAGGUGAGGUAAGUCAACUGUCUAAUCGACUGCUUUCAUUGAUCAAUUAAGUGCUGAAUAACAACGAAAGCAAGUACACCCUGCGGCUCCCCACCACCAGGAAUGAAGACCACUGCUCUAGAAACUGGGCUGGCCAGUGAGGGCGUUUGGACAUAGAGAGGUGUGGUCAGACACAAUCCAUAGAGGGCCACAACAUGGUCUGCUGCCUUUUGUUUCCACCCUAAAAUCAGCAACCAAUCUAGGUCCAAGAAACUGGGUGAGCGUCUCCGAGUGCACAGGCGAGCACCUACCUGCAGCGCGCUGUUCAGGAAGCAGCUGUUCUGUCCUGGCUCGUUGAUGAGGCCUUUGCUCGGGGCGAUGGACGUCAUGGUCCGAGGCGUGAAGAUGCCCUGCAUACCGCUGCUGCCGGACGCAAAGUAAUUCCGCUUCCACGACAUGGUCCUGGUCCGCUUUUGGGCCCGCGACCCCGACCGUGACCUCCAGCCUUCCCCCCUCCCCCCCUCCCCCCCACGGUCACCACGCGACCGUCCGUCGGUGGGAAAAAAGGGAGACGUUCAUCCUUUUGAAGCCGGGCGGCGGAAGGUGCAGAAAGAGGAUAGAGAGAAAGAAAAAGAGGAAAAGUCAGAAGCUUGGGGAAGGCGGCGCGAGCGUGGCGGCUCCACGCGGUCGUGUUGCGGUCGUCCCUCGGUCGGUCCUGCUCAGCCGCCGCUGGAGACAAACGGGUGGAAAUUGAGAAGUUCCAAACGGUCAGGGAACGGGAGCGAUGCCGGUGAUUUCAGCAAAGAGGAGAGGCUGGGCUCCCGAAGCUCGUUAACGUGGCCCUGCCCCCCCAUGGACUGCUCGUUAGUCGUGUGUCCGCCACUGCCCGCCGCCUCCCAGCGAGAGACCCCACCCCCCACCCCCCCCGGUGCCGUCCAAUAUAGGUCUGACCUCACCCCCGAGCGACCAGCGUCCAGAACCGUGCCAAAAGUGGGGCGUCCCGGCUAUGUCCUGGGCUGGGUAUUUGGAGUGCUCCCCCCAGCAGGAGCGUCCCACUAACAGGGAGUGAAAGAGAGCGACGCCUCCGUUUGCUGGUCGGCCGGUCUGCAGGGAGAAGAGGAGAAAAGAAAAGGCAAGGUCCAUCGCUCACGCACUGAGAAUGACUGAGAGGUCCUCACAGGGGCACCUUGGCUGCCAAAAUGCAACAUUCAGCCUAAUUCAGGCCUACAUAUCGGCUCCCCUUCUCCCACUCGCAUUCUCUCUCUUUCUUUUUCUCUCUGCCUCUCUAUCACUCUCUAUUUAUCUCUCCCACAGGCCCUGUGGCAGCACCUUUAAUGGAACUCUCUACAGGAGGCACAACAUGAGAGAGAGAGAGAGAGGGAGAGAGAGGGAUAUAGAGAGAGAGAGAGUGUGUGUGUGUGUGUGUGUGAGUGUGUGUGUGUGUGAAAUUGAGAGAGGGAGG
Long non-coding RNA from Conger conger (European conger), 1520 nucleotides. RefSeq lists it as uncharacterized. The transcript is spliced from 3 exons. The record is from RefSeq and is a predicted model, not a curated record. NCBI's taxonomy places the organism in Eukaryota, Metazoa, Chordata, Actinopteri, Anguilliformes, Congridae.